GAGUGUAUAGUUCAAGUGGUAGAGCACAUGCUUAGCAUGCAUGAGGUCCUGGGUUCAAUCCCCAGUACCUCCA
Molecule: transfer RNA, 73 nt
Organism: Camelus ferus (Wild Bactrian camel)
Lineage: Eukaryota; Metazoa; Chordata; Mammalia; Artiodactyla; Camelidae
Rfam family: tRNA
About the family: Transfer RNA (tRNA) molecules are approximately 80 nucleotides in length. Their secondary structure includes four short double-helical elements and three loops (D, anti-codon, and T loops). Further hydrogen bonds mediate the characteristic L-shaped molecular structure. tRNAs have two regions of fundamental functional importance: the anti-codon, which is responsible for specific mRNA codon recognition, and the 3' end, to which the tRNAs corresponding amino acid is attached (by aminoacyl-tRNA synthetases). tRNAs cope with the degeneracy of the genetic code in two manners: having more than one tRNA (with a specific anti-codon) for a particular amino acid; and 'wobble' base-pairing, i.e. permitting non-standard base-pairing at the 3rd anti-codon position.
Source: Rfam